Molecule: ribosomal RNA, 251 nt
Filed under: uncultured bacterium
Lineage: Bacteria
Description: partial 16S ribosomal RNA
Rfam family: Bacterial small subunit ribosomal RNA
Source: RNAcentral
ACCACGCGAGUGGAUGCCAAUCCCCAAAACCUCUCUCAGUUCGGACUGGAGUCUGCAACCCGACUCCACGAAGCUGGAUUCGCUAGUAAUCGCGCAUCAGCCACGGCGCGGUGAAUACGUUCCCGGGCCUUGUACACACCGCCCGUCACACCAUGAGAGUCUGUAACACCCAAAGCCGGUGGGAUAACCUUUAUAGGAGUCAGCCGUCUAAGGUAGGACAGAUGAUUAGGGUGAAGUCGUAACAAGGUACC